This 110-nucleotide small nuclear RNA is filed under the name Choloepus hoffmanni (Hoffmann's two-fingered sloth). RNAcentral describes it as "U5 spliceosomal RNA (ENSCHOG00000014406.1)". It matches the Rfam family "U5 spliceosomal RNA". Rfam says of the family: U5 RNA is a component of both types of known spliceosome. The precise function of this molecule is unknown, though it is known that the 5' loop is required for splice site selection and p220 binding, and that both the 3' stem-loop and the Sm site are important for Sm protein binding and cap methylation. The record is from RNAcentral. Lineage: Eukaryota; Metazoa; Chordata; Mammalia; Pilosa; Megalonychidae.
AUACUCUGGUUUCUCUUCAGAUUGUAUAAAUACUUUGCCCUUUAUUAAAUAUUUCUGUGGAGAGAAUUCUGAGUUUAUACACAAUUUUUGAGGCCCUGUGUCAAUAGGGC